Molecule: RNA transcript, 2265 nt
Organism: Gossypium raimondii (Peruvian cotton)
Lineage: Eukaryota; Viridiplantae; Streptophyta; Magnoliopsida; Malvales; Malvaceae
Gene name: protein MODIFIER OF SNC1 11
Exons: 7
Source: RefSeq, a predicted model, not a curated record
UUAAUCCUUAACCAGCAAGUAAGAGAAGACAGUGAUCCUCACCGCUCACUCUCUUAGGUCUCGGCUCCUACUCUUCACGCAACUCUACCUACCAUUCCCAUGGCAACCACCGCCGAUAAACCCCUCGCUACCGCAAGAAACUCCGCGGCUCCAUCCUCCGUCGCCAAUUCAUCCGCAGAACCGAUCUCUAAGAAGACCGCGGAGCCCGCUCUGCCUUCCACCGAUAAGUUAGAUCCUCCUAGCUCUGAUACUUCUGCUUCUGAAGUACCUCUUAAGGAGAGCGAGGGUUCGAAGACUGGCGGGACUGCUGGGGGCUCCGUCUCUGGGGGUGGCAGCGCUCCCGUUAGCGACAUCCAGAAGAAGAUUCGCCGAGCUGAGCGGUUCGGCGUACCGGUCCAGUUGUCUGAGCAAGAGAAGCGUAAUUCUAGGGCUGAGAGGUUCGGCACUGGGCCCAGCACGAAUGGAUCAGAAGCAUCUAAGCAAUCGGAGGACUUGAAGAGGAAAGCCAGAGCAGAGAGGUUUGGGCUUUCUGUACCCACUACGGCUGCUGAUGAGGAGGCCAAAAAGAAAGCACGUCUUGCCAGAUUUGCACAAGAUUCCAAACCUGAUACGGUGGAAGAGGAGAAAAGAAAAGCGAGGGCAAUUAGGUUCUCUAAUCCUCCAUCAAGUACAUCAUCACAGGUGAAUGGGAAGGGAAAUAUUGAGCCAGAGGCUCCUAUUGCUGGAAAGGCUGGUGGAGGACCCUAAAUACAAAAUUUCCCUACCUAGUUAAAAGGUCUAGUAGUGUUGUAACAACUUGUAUCCGUAGCGGCUUCUUUACAAUGUUAUCUUUCCAACCUCAGAAUUAUUAGAUGUGGUACUCCUUCAUCCUCAGAUAAAUUGCUAAAGCAGUGAAAGGUUUCGUUGGUAGUUUGGAUGGCAUUUUUCUCAUUUCGGGCAUAACUACUGUUUCUAUUGACUUGGUGAGGCCUAUAGAGGAAUCAGCGAUCAGUGUUAACCUAUCUCAAAUCCUACCAAAAGCAUUAAAACUUCUCGGAUAAGGGCUAGAAAAUUUCAACUUUUCCUUUUGAUGAUAUGAUUGAGAAAGUAUGGAGUGGUUAGUAAUUUCCAUCUAGAAAAAAAAUUUUGAUUUGUUCUCUUGCCAUGGUAAUAUUUGGGGAUUUUAUAUUCUUCCAAGUUGCAUGGUAUGACCAAAUUCGAGACGGCAGUAGUAUCCAAAUUGAGUCUGACAUCUAUUUCUUCGGGUUAAAUAAUUUUAAGUAGUAGAUGAUACAUUCUCAUAAAUAUCUAAAAGCAAGUUUAGUUUCCAUUUUAUUCUGGUUUCUACAUGUUAGGGUCUUAUGUCUCUUUCUUUCUUGUUUUUUUUUUUUUAAGUGUGACUUUGGCUAUAGGACAAAUGAACUUAAAUGCCUUUUAUAUAAGCAAACGUGGAUAACAUUUUUUUUGUGUUUACAUUGAAAUGCUUUGGUGUAGGGGUUUGUAGGAGGCUUAUUUUGUUCAGUAAUCUCUGACUGUUUUCAUGUUACUUUGUUCUAAAUAGUUAAAAAAGGAAAUAGAAUCAUUUGUUGGAUAUAUUCUCGAGCAUGCAUGUACUCAUGAGCUCGUUUGCAAGUUUGCAUGCAUAAGUUUGCAUUUUUGUACAUGUAUCUGCUCAUGAUACUCGUGGCUCAGAUGGCAUAAUUGAACUCGAUUUAGUUAGUUUUCCGUGAGAAAUUAUGAAUGCAGUGCUGUUGUGCAUAGGAUACUACUGCUGUCAGCUUUUGAUCAUGAGAGGCAUAUUAAAAAUUGGGAAUUGUUUUACAAUGUUAAUAUUGAAUGCGGAGAGUUCCUGAAAUUUUCCGGGUUUUAUUUUGAGAUAAGUGAUUUGAGAUAAGUGAACCGUAACCCAGUUUAAGGUGAUUGCUAGCUUCCCUUUGGUCUCACCAGGUGAAUUAGCUGAUCUACGCUGCAAGGAUUUAUUGUAUGGCAAGCACAGAGUAUACUUUUAAACUUAUGGGGGAUUUUCUUUUAAAGAUUUGCUAUGUUGAUCAAAAAGAGAACAAGAAAUAUUUAGAAAGACGUUUUUUGCUAUGCCAAAAAUAGGGCUUUCCUCCUUGGCCACAGAAUAGGCACUACCUUUUAGCUGUCAAACCAUUAAUUCCGAAUAUUUUCUUAAAUCCAAUAUUAAUUAGUAUCUCUAGUCUAAGUUUAAUUUUUGUUGUGUAGGAUCCAUUGUAUAGUAAGCACAGAGCAUAAUUUUAAACUCACGAGAGAUUUUCUUUUAAA